UACGAAGGGUGCAAACGUUGCUCGGAAUCACUGGGCGUAAAGCGCACGUAGGCGGAUUGUUAAGUCAGGGGUGAAAUCCUGGAGCUCAACUCCAGAACUGCCUUUGAUACUGGCGAUCUCGAGUCCGGGAGAGGUGAGUGGAACUGCGAGUGUAGAGGUGAAAUUCGUAGAUAUUCGCAAGAACACCAGUGGCGAAGGCGGCUCACUGGCCCGAUACUGACGCUGAGGCACGAAAGCGUGGGGAGCAAACAGG
Molecule: ribosomal RNA, 253 nt
Filed under: uncultured bacterium
Lineage: Bacteria
Description: partial 16S ribosomal RNA
Rfam family: Bacterial small subunit ribosomal RNA
Source: RNAcentral